GCCGGAGUAGCUCAGUUGGUAGACAACUCACUUGUAAUGAGUAGGUCGGGGGUUCGAGUCCUCUCUCCGGCUCCA
Molecule: transfer RNA, 75 nt
Filed under: Candidatus Kaiserbacteria bacterium
Lineage: Bacteria; Candidatus Kaiseribacteriota
Description: tRNA-Thr
Rfam family: tRNA
About the family: Transfer RNA (tRNA) molecules are approximately 80 nucleotides in length. Their secondary structure includes four short double-helical elements and three loops (D, anti-codon, and T loops).
Source: RNAcentral